UGUUUGCAUAGUGUGUGUAUAUAAUGCAGUGUGUUUGUGUAGUGUGUUUAUAUAAUACACACUACACAAACACACUGCAUUAUAUACACACACUAUACAAAC
Non-coding RNA from Pelobates cultripes (western spadefoot toad), 102 nucleotides. NCBI's taxonomy places the organism in Eukaryota, Metazoa, Chordata, Amphibia, Anura, Pelobatidae. The record is from the annotation of a GenBank genome assembly.